CAAUCGAAAUGCAUUUGAAUUGAGUGUGUGUGUGUGUGUGUGUGUGUGAGAGUGCGUGCGUGUGCGAGGGUGUUUGCAAGUGCUCCAUAAUGCAAAAAGGUAGUAAAAAAAAAGGGUAAAACCAAAAAAAAAAAAAGUAUAAAAUGGGCAGAGCACUUGCCACCACACAAAAAGAUUUACACGACACUUAAGCCAAAAAAAAAAACGGACGCACGCCACGCGCUGCUACUAAAAAGAAGGAAGAACUUGCGGAGCGAGCAGAGGUGAGCGCGACGUCAUGGCUGAGAGCAGCGGCAGCGGCAGCAACAAUAACAAGCGCGUUAAGGCCGCGCGGUAGAGGAGACGAGUAAGCAUCAAGCCAAGGCAGCAGCCGCAGCGGCAGCGGCAACAACAAGAACGCACAAUGUGCCAAUUGGACAAACGUCGAGCAGCUGUACAAUCCAAUUGGCAUGCUCGAAAACAGGCAGGAAAGUGGUUAAAAUAAAAAGAAGCAAAACGCAAGGCAUAUACAAAUAUGCAGCGAAAUGUUCGCGCAUUUGGCAAAAAAUCAAUUUUCCGUGUGAUUGCCAAAUGCAAUUGCUGCCACAGGCCGCAAGAGUGGGGCGCAACAACACACUCACACACACACACAAACACAUGAGGACACACAUGACAAAAAAAAAAACAAAAAGAAAAGAAAAAAGCGAAACGAAGAAAACUCCUUGGGUGUCCCUGGACAGAC
This 721-nucleotide unclassified non-coding RNA is filed under the name Drosophila virilis. Its description in RNAcentral is "GJ17727". Lineage: Eukaryota; Metazoa; Arthropoda; Insecta; Diptera; Drosophilidae. The record is from RNAcentral.